Molecule: long non-coding RNA, 1027 nt
Organism: Rhododendron vialii
Lineage: Eukaryota; Viridiplantae; Streptophyta; Magnoliopsida; Ericales; Ericaceae
Exons: 3
Source: RefSeq, a predicted model, not a curated record
CUGGUUCCAGAAUGCAUAGACAAACUUGCACAAGCAGGUCUGGAGAUAUGGCUUCUCACUGGCGACAAAAAAGAGACUGCAAUCAACGUUGGGUGAGACUAAGUUAUUGACUUGAACAAUCGCUAUUACUUGUAGUAGUCUCAACUCUUAAGUACAGUGUGUGUCAAAAAGGGAGCAUGGGCUACUGUAUUUAGUGUUAUACUUUCCUUGGGGCUGAACUAUUUAAUUCAUGAUUUUACUAUCUUCCUUGGAUCUAUUAGAUUCACUUGCAGUUUAUUUCGGAACGAUAUGAAACAGUUUCACUUGGGUUUGAGCAAAGAAGCUGAAUCAAACAGUCAAGGCAAUGAAAGUUGAGAUUCUACAUCAAAUUCAAGAUUCUUACCAAAUGACUUGUGAUGAAUUCCACAAGGAUAUGUUCCUUUUGCUUUGGUGAUAGAUGGGAAAGCGCUUGAAAUUGCUUUGGGAAGUGACAUGAAGGACCGAUUCUCUUACAGUUGGCAGUUAAUUGCUCUUCUGUCAUAUGCUGCCGCGUAUCCCCAAAGUAGAAAGCUUUUGUACGACAAAAGUAUUCAACUUCAAUUAGCAUUUGUUACUGUUUCAAUGAACUUUGGGGGCUUAAACGAAGCAGCGAAGCUAUAGGGCCAUCACCUUUGUAGUGGAAUGUCACUUUGCUUGUGGUGGUGGUCUUCUACCGUAUUUCCUCCACCUCAUAGUCCAACGGUUGUUUUAUCCAACGGAUGAUCAAGUUAUCCAAGAAAUGAAGCACUGCAGAAAAGACAGUAAGGAUACUGAAAUGUGGGCGAGGGAACUACACAACUCCAGGAGGACAAAUCAAAUCGGGUUUUCGGCUAGAGUUGACGUGAAGAUAUCUUCCUUGAGGGAACAGUUGCACCAAAAGAAGACAUCACUAUAUAAAUCUGUAACAAGCAAUCCAAUUUUCUGUUACCGAACAAAUAUAUAUAGUAACAAAAAAAGACAGCAGCUUACCGCGAAGUCGCACGUUCUCAUUGUCAAAUGAGAGAGAAGA